RNAcentral lists this ribosomal RNA (398 nucleotides) under uncultured bacterium. RNAcentral describes it as "bacterial SSU rRNA". It matches the Rfam family "Bacterial small subunit ribosomal RNA", at positions 791 to 1185 of the family's 1533-position model. The record is from RNAcentral.
UAGUCCACGCCCUAAACGAUGUCAACUAGUUGUUGGGGAUUCAUUUCCUUAGUAACGUAGCUAACGCGUGAAGUUGACCGCCUGGGGAGUACGGUCGCAAGAUUAAAACUCAAAGGAAUUGACGGGGACCCGCACAAGCGGUGGAUGAUGUGGAUUAAUUCGAUGCAACGCGAAAAAACCUUACCUACCCUUGACAUGGUACGGAACCCUGCUGAAAGGUGGGGGUGCUCGAAAGAGAACCGGCGCACAGGUGCUGCAUGGCUGUCGUCAGCUCGUGUCGUGAGAUGUUGGGUUAAAGUCCCGCAACGAGCGCAACCCUUGUCCUAUUGUCUCGUACGAAAGGGCACUCUAACUAGGGAGACUGCCGGUGACAAACCGGAGGAAGGUGGGGAUGACGU